CGCGCAGGCGGGUUUGUCAGUCAGGGGUGAAAUCCUACAGCUUAACUGUAGAACUGCCUUUGAUACUGCAAACCUUGAGUUCGGAAGAGAGAGGCGGAAUUCCAGGUGUAGUGGUGAAAUACGUAGAUAUCUGGGAGAACACCAGAGGCGAAGGCGGUCUCUUGGUCCGUAACUGACGCUGAGGCGCGAAAGCGUGGGGAGCAAACA
Molecule: ribosomal RNA, 207 nt
Filed under: uncultured bacterium
Lineage: Bacteria
Description: partial 16S ribosomal RNA
Rfam family: Bacterial small subunit ribosomal RNA
Source: RNAcentral